This 467-nucleotide ribosomal RNA is filed under the name uncultured bacterium. Its description in RNAcentral is "partial 16S ribosomal RNA". It matches the Rfam family "Bacterial small subunit ribosomal RNA", at positions 28 to 507 of the family's 1533-position model. The record is from RNAcentral.
GACGAACGCUGGCGGCGUGCUUAACACAUGCAAGUCGAACGGAACGGCCCCAGCUUGCUGGAGUCCUCGAGUGGCGAACGGGUGAGUAACACGUGGGUAAUCUGCCCUUCACUCUGGGGUAAGCCUGGGACACUGGGUCUAAUACUGGCUAUGAUCUUUCUCCUUAUGGUGUUUGGUGGAAAGUUUUUCUGUGUAGGAUGAGCCAGCGGCAUAUACGCUUGUUUGCAGGGUUAUUUCGUACCAAUGCUACGACGGGUUGCCUGCCUGAUAGGGUGAGCAGCCACAUUGGAACUGGGAUACGGCCCAGACUCCUACGGGAGGCAGGAGUGGGGUGUAGUGCACUAGGGGCUGAGGCCUGAUGCAGCGACGCCGUGUGGGGGAUGACGGCCUUCGCGUUGUAUACCUCUUUCAUCUGGGACGAAGCGUAAGUGACGGUACCUGCAGAAGAAGCACCGGCUAACUACGUG